RNAcentral lists this ribosomal RNA (217 nucleotides) under Aurantiochytrium limacinum. RNAcentral describes it as "partial Bacterial large subunit ribosomal RNA". It matches the Rfam family "Bacterial large subunit ribosomal RNA", at positions 1735 to 1931 of the family's 2925-position model. The record is from RNAcentral. Lineage: Eukaryota; Bigyra; Thraustochytrida; Thraustochytriidae.
UUCGGGAGAAGGGGGGCCCCACGGUGUGAAGGUUCUUGCGGCUGGAAGCGUUGUGGGGUCGCAGAGAAUAGAGGGAAGCGACUGUUUAUUAAAAACACAGGUCCGUGCGAAAACGUGGAAGUUGAUGUAUACGGACUGACGCCUGCCCGGUGCUGGAAGGUUAAGGAAGGUGCUUAGAAGUAAUUCGAAGGCAUUGACUGAAGCCCCAGUAAACGGC